This 253-nucleotide ribosomal RNA is filed under the name uncultured bacterium. Its description in RNAcentral is "partial 16S ribosomal RNA". It matches the Rfam family "Bacterial small subunit ribosomal RNA", at positions 524 to 776 of the family's 1533-position model. The record is from RNAcentral.
UACGGAGGGGGCGAGCGUUAUUCGGAAUUAUUGGGCGUAAAGGGCGCGUAGGCGGCCCGGUAAGUCAAAGGUGAAAUCCCUCGGCUCAACUGAGGAACUGCCUUUGAAACUGUCGGGCUUGAGGCCGGGAGGGGGUAGCGGAAUUCCCAGUGUAGCGGUGAAAUGCGUAGAUAUUGGGAGGAACACCGGUGGCGAAGGCGGGUCUCUGGGCCGAUACUGACGCUGAGGAGCGAAAGCGUGGGGAGCGAACAGG